UGAGGAAUAUUGCACAAUGGGCGAAAGCCUAAUACAGCAACGCCGCGUGAGGGACGAAGGCCUUCGGGUCGUAAACCUCUUUUCUGGGGGACGAGUAAGGACGGUACUCCAGGAAUAAGUCUCGGCUAACUACGUGCCAGCAGCCGCGGUAGAACGUAGGAGGCGAGCGUUAUCCGGAUUUACUGGGCGUAAAGCGUACGCAGGUGGCUUCGUUAGUCGGACAUGAAAGCUCCUGGCUUAACUGGGAGAGGUUGUUCGAUACUGCGGGGCUUGAGGUUGGGAGAGGGACGUGGAAUUCCCGGUGUAGUGGUGGAAUGCGUAGAUAUCGGGAGGAACACCAGUGGCGCAAGCGGCGUCCUGGCCCACACCUGACGCUGAGGUACGAAAGCGUGGGUAGCAAACAG
This 404-nucleotide ribosomal RNA is filed under the name uncultured bacterium. RNAcentral's name for it is "bacterial SSU rRNA". It matches the Rfam family "Bacterial small subunit ribosomal RNA", at positions 355 to 775 of the family's 1533-position model. The record is from RNAcentral.